AUGUACUGUGGUGUUUGGGGUUAGGUACUGUGGUGUUGGGGUUAGGUAGUACUGUGGUGUUGGGGUUAGGUACUGUGGUGUUGGAGUUAGGUACUGUGGUGUUGGGGUUAGGUACUGUACUGUGGUGUUGGGGUUAGGUACUGUGGUGUUUGGGGUUAGGUACUGUGGUGUUGGGGUUAGGUACUGUGGUGUUGGGGUUAGGUACUGUGGUGUUGGAGUUAGGUUCUGUGGUGUUGGGGUUAGGUACUGUACUGUGGUGUUGGGGUUAGGUACUGUACUGUGGUGUUGGAGUUAGGUACUGUACUGUGGUGUUGGGGUUAGGUACUGUGGUGUUUGGGGUUAGGUACUGUGGUGUUGGGGUUAGGUACUGUGGUGUUGGGGUUAGGUACUGUGGUGUUGGGUUAGGUACUGUGGUGUUGGGGUUAGGUACUGUACUGUUGUGUUGGGGUUAGGUACUGUGGUGUUGGGGUUAGGUACUGUACUGUGGUGUUGGGGUUAGGUACUGUGGUGUUGGGGUUAGGUACUGUGGUG
RNAcentral lists this long non-coding RNA (531 nucleotides) under Salmo salar (Atlantic salmon). RNAcentral describes it as "lncRNA (ENSSSAG00000098907.1)". Lineage: Eukaryota; Metazoa; Chordata; Actinopteri; Salmoniformes; Salmonidae. The record is from RNAcentral.